GUUAACGCUGGCGNCGUGCCUAAUACAUGCAAGUCGAGCGAACUGAUUAGAAGCUUGCUUCUAUGACGUUAGCGGCGGACGGGUGAGUAACACGUGGGCAACCUGCCUGUAAGACUGGGAUAACUUCGGGAAACCGAAGCUAAUACCGGAUAGGAUCUUCUCCUUCAUGGGAGAUGAUUGAAAGAUGGUUUCGGCUAUCACUUACAGAUGGGCCCGCGGUGCAUUAGCUAGUUGGUGAGGUAACGGCUCACCAAGGCAACGAUGCAUAGCCGACCUGAGAGGGUGCACGGCCACACUGGGACUGAGACACGGCCCAGACUCCUACGGGAGGCAGCAGUAGGGAAUCUUCCGCAAUGGACGAAAGUCUGACGGAGCAACGCCGCGUGAAGUGAUGAAGGCUUUCGGGUCGUAAAACUCUGUUGUUAGGGAAGAAGAACAAGUACAAGAGUAACUGCUUAGUACCUUGACGGUACCUAACCAGAAAGCACGGCUAACUACGUGC
This 502-nucleotide ribosomal RNA is filed under the name Priestia megaterium. RNAcentral's name for it is "bacterial SSU rRNA". It matches the Rfam family "Bacterial small subunit ribosomal RNA", at positions 29 to 508 of the family's 1533-position model. Lineage: Bacteria; Bacillati; Bacillota; Bacilli; Caryophanales; Bacillaceae. The record is from RNAcentral.